GGAAGGGGUGUAUUUAUUAGAUUAAAAACCAAUGCCCUCUGGGCUCUUUGGUGAUUCAUGAUAACUUCUCGAAUCGCACGGCCUUGCGCCGGCGAUGGUUCAUUCAAAUUUCUUCCCUAUCAACUUUCGAUGUUUGGGUAUUGGCCAAACAUGGUUGCAACGGGUAACGGAGGGUUAGGGCUCGACCCCGGAGAAGGAGCCUGAGAAACGGCUACUACAUCCAAGGAAGGCAGCAGGCGCGCAAAUUACCCAAUCCCGACACGGGGAGGUAGUGACAAUAAAUACUGAUACAGGGCUCUUUUGGGUCUUGUAAUUGGAAUGAGUACAAUUUAAAUCCCUUAACGAGGAACAAUUGGAGGGCAAGUCUGGUGCCAGCAGCCGCGGUAAUUCCAGCUCCAAUAGCGUAUAUUAAAGUUGUUGUGGUUAAAAAGCUCGUAGUUGAACCUUGGGCCUGGCUGGCCGGUCCGCCUCACCGCGUGUACUGGUCCGGCCGGGCCUUUCCCUCUGUGGAACCUCAUGCCCUUCACUGGGUGUGACGGGGAACCAGGACUUUUAC
RNAcentral lists this ribosomal RNA (556 nucleotides) under uncultured Ascomycota. RNAcentral describes it as "SSU rRNA". It matches the Rfam family "Eukaryotic small subunit ribosomal RNA", at positions 194 to 755 of the family's 1831-position model. Lineage: Eukaryota; Fungi; Ascomycota. The record is from RNAcentral.